This 253-nucleotide ribosomal RNA is filed under the name uncultured bacterium. RNAcentral's name for it is "partial 16S ribosomal RNA". It matches the Rfam family "Bacterial small subunit ribosomal RNA", at positions 524 to 776 of the family's 1533-position model. The record is from RNAcentral.
UACGGGGGGGGUUAGCGUUGUUCGGAAUGACUGGGCGUAAAGCGCGCGUAGGCGGAUCAGGAAGUUGGGGGUGAAAUCCCGGGGCUCAACCCCGGAAUGGCCUUCAAAACUCCUGGUCUUGAGUUCGAGAGAGGUGAGUGGAAUUCCGAGUGUAGAGGUGAAAUUCGUAGAUAUUCGGAGGAACACCAGUGGCGAAGGCGGCUCACUGGCUCGACACUGACGCUGAGGUGCGAAAGCGUGGGGAGCAAACAGG